Molecule: ribosomal RNA, 260 nt
Filed under: uncultured bacterium
Lineage: Bacteria
Description: partial 16S ribosomal RNA
Rfam family: Bacterial small subunit ribosomal RNA
Source: RNAcentral
UUAGUGGCGGACGGGUGAGUAACGCGUGGGCAACCUGCCCCAUACCGGGGAUACCACCUGGAAACAGGUGCUAAUACCGCAUAAGCGCACGGGAGCGCAUGCUCCUGUGUGAAAAACUCCGGUGGUAUGGGAUGGACCCGCGUCUGAUUAGCCAGUUGGCAGGGUAACGGCCUACCAAAGCGACGAUCAGUAGCCGGCUGAGAGGGUGGACGGCCACAUUGGGACUGAGACACGGCCCAAACUCCUACGGGAGGCAGCAG